Molecule: non-coding RNA, 71 nt
Organism: Trachemys scripta elegans
Lineage: Eukaryota; Metazoa; Chordata; Testudines; Emydidae
Source: the annotation of a RefSeq genome assembly
AAAACUAUAGCUUAACAAAAAGCAUUCAGCUUACACCUGAAAGAUGUCUAUUAAAUACGAGACUAUUUUGA